This 464-nucleotide ribosomal RNA is filed under the name uncultured bacterium. RNAcentral describes it as "partial 16S ribosomal RNA". It matches the Rfam family "Bacterial small subunit ribosomal RNA", at positions 339 to 795 of the family's 1533-position model. The record is from RNAcentral.
CUACGGGGUGCUGCAGUGGGGAAUAUUGGACAAUGGGGGAAACCCUGAUCCAGCAAUGCCGCGUGUGUGAAGAAGGCCUGCGGGUUGUAAAGCACUUUCGGUUGGGAGGACUGCUUCUAGCACUAAUAUUGUUGGAAGUUGACGUUACCUUCAGAAGAAGCACCGGCUAACUCCGUGCCAGCAGCCGCGGUAAUACGGAGGGUGCAUGCGUUAAUCGGGAUUACUGGGCGUAAAGCGCGCGUAGGCGGCUAGAUCAGUCGGGUGUGAAGGCCCGGGCUUAACCUGGGAACUGCAUCCGAUACUGUCUAGCUUGAGUACAGGAGAGGAGAGUGGAAUUCCACAUGUAGCGGUGAAAUGCGUAGAUAUGUGGAGGAACACCAAUGGCGAAGGCAGCUCUCUGGCCUGAUACUGACGCUGAGGUGCGAAAGCGUGGGGAGCAAACAGGAUUAGAUACCCGUGUAGUC